Molecule: ribosomal RNA, 253 nt
Filed under: uncultured bacterium
Lineage: Bacteria
Description: partial 16S ribosomal RNA
Rfam family: Bacterial small subunit ribosomal RNA
Source: RNAcentral
UACGGGGGGGGCAAGCGUUGUUCGGAAUUACUGGGCGUAAAGCGCGCGUAGGUGGUUUGUUAAGUUGGAUGUGAAAGCCCCGGGCUCAACCUGGGAACUGCAUUCAAAACUGACAAGCUAGAGUAUGGUAGAGGGUGGUGGAAUUUCCUGUGUAGCGGUGAAAUGCGUAGAUAUAGGAAGGAACACCAGUGGCGAAGGCGACCACCUGGACUGAUACUGACACUGAGGUGCGAAAGCGUGGGGAGCAAACAGG